AGGAAUGCAGCCCCUCUGUUAUCUCACUUUUUCCCAGCGCUUUGUGAGACAUGCUGCUUCUCAGUAUUUUUCCAUUCAAGAAUUUCCCAGAAACCUCUGUUAGCCUGACUUUAGUCAGGUUGACAUACCUGUUUUUGUCUGCUAUAUCGUUAUUCAGGCCUAACAACCGUGAGCUGACCAA
Non-coding RNA from Chelonoidis abingdonii (Abingdon island giant tortoise), 181 nucleotides. NCBI's taxonomy places the organism in Eukaryota, Metazoa, Chordata, Testudines, Testudinidae. The record is from RefSeq and is a predicted model, not a curated record.